RNAcentral lists this transfer RNA (72 nucleotides) under Kofleriaceae bacterium. Its description in RNAcentral is "tRNA-Val". It matches the Rfam family "tRNA". From Rfam's summary of the family: Transfer RNA (tRNA) molecules are approximately 80 nucleotides in length. Their secondary structure includes four short double-helical elements and three loops (D, anti-codon, and T loops). Lineage: Bacteria; Pseudomonadati; Myxococcota; Haliangiales; Kofleriaceae. The record is from RNAcentral.
AGGCGUGUAGCUCAGCGGCAGAGCACUACCUUGACACGGUAGGGGUCCGCGGUUCAAACCCGCGCACGCCUA